GUCUACAGCUAUGUCACCCUGAACAAGCCCGAUGCCUGAUCCUGGAAGAUAAGCAGGUUUGGGUCUGAUUAGUACUUGGAUGAGAGACAACCUAGGAAGACCAGGUGCUAUAGGCA
Pteropus vampyrus (large flying fox) is the source of this 116-nucleotide ribosomal RNA. The record is from Ensembl. Lineage: Eukaryota; Metazoa; Chordata; Mammalia; Chiroptera; Pteropodidae.